Molecule: ribosomal RNA, 253 nt
Filed under: uncultured bacterium
Lineage: Bacteria
Description: partial 16S ribosomal RNA
Rfam family: Bacterial small subunit ribosomal RNA
Source: RNAcentral
UACGUAGGGGGCUAGCGUUGUCCGGAUUUAUUGGGCGUAAAGAGCGUGUAGGCGGCCAGGUAGGUCUGGUGUGAAAACUCGAGGCUUAACCCCGGGCCUGCAGUGGGUACGGGCAGACUAGAGUGCGGUAGGGGAGACUGGAAUUCCUGGUGUAGCGGUGAAAUGCGCAGAUAUCAGGAGGAACACCGGUGGCGAAGGCGGGUCUCUGGGCCGAUACUGACGCUGAGGAGCGAAAGCGUGGGGAGCGAACAGG